RNAcentral lists this unclassified non-coding RNA (309 nucleotides) under plant metagenome. RNAcentral describes it as "partial contains 5.8S ribosomal RNA, internal transcribed spacer 2, and large subunit ribosomal RNA". The stretch from base 1 to 105 matches the Rfam family "5.8S ribosomal RNA", at positions 50 to 154 of the family's 154-position model. The record is from RNAcentral.
GAAAUGCGAUAAGUAGUGUGAAUUGCAGAAUUCAGUGAAUCAUCGAAUCUUUGAACGCACAUCGCGCCCCUUGGUAUUCCAUGGGGCAUGCCUGUUCGAGCGUCAUUUGUACCCUCAAGCUCUGCUUGGUGUUGGGUGUUUGUCCCGUCUCCGCGCGUGGACUCGCCCCAAAGUGAUUGGCAGCCGGCGUACUGGUCCCGGAGCGCAGCACAUGUCGCGCAAACGAGUGCCUUGGUACGGCGGCGUCCAUAAGCCCCUCUCUCACGCUCUUGACCUCGGAUCAGGUAGGGAUACCCGCUGAACUUAAGC